This 484-nucleotide ribosomal RNA is filed under the name uncultured bacterium. RNAcentral describes it as "partial 16S ribosomal RNA". It matches the Rfam family "Bacterial small subunit ribosomal RNA", at positions 29 to 507 of the family's 1533-position model. The record is from RNAcentral.
AUUGAACGCUGGCGGCAUGCUUUACACAUGCAAGUCGAACGGCAGCGCGGGCUUCGGCCUGGCGGCGAGUGGCGCACGGGUGAGUAAUACAUCGGAACGUGCCCAGUAGUGGGGGAUAGCACGGCGAAAGCCGGAUUAAUACCGCAUACGACCUGAGGGUGAAAGCGGGGGAUCUUCGGACCUCGCGCUAUUGGAGGGGCCGAUGGCAGAUUAGCUAGUUGGUGGGGUAAAGGCCUACCAAGGCGACGAUCUGUAGCUGGUCUGAGAGGACGACCAGCCACACUAGGACUGAGACACGGCCCAGACUCCUACGGGAGGCAGCAGUGGGGAAUGUUAGACAAUGGGCGAAAGCCUGAUCCAGCAAUGCCGCGUGUGUGAUGAAGGCGUUCGGGUUGUAAAGCACUUUUGGCGGGAACGAAAAGGACUGUGCCAAUACCACGGUUCGAUGACGGUACCCGCAGAAUAAGCACCGGCUAACUACGUG